RNAcentral lists this ribosomal RNA (685 nucleotides) under uncultured bacterium. RNAcentral's name for it is "bacterial SSU rRNA". It matches the Rfam family "Bacterial small subunit ribosomal RNA", at positions 143 to 845 of the family's 1533-position model. The record is from RNAcentral.
AUAACGGUUAGAAAUGACCGCUAAUACCGCUUAAGCGCGCGAGGCCGCAUGGCCGCGCGCGAAAAACUCCGGUGGUAUGGGAUGGGCCCGCGUCUGAUUAGCUAGUUGGCGGGGUAACGGCCCACCAAGGCGACGAUCAGUAGCCGACCUGAGAGGGUGGCCGGCCACAUUGGGACUGAGACACGGCCCAAACUCCUACGGGAGGCAGCAGUGGGGAAUAUUGCGCAAUGGGGGAAACCCUGACGCAGCAACGCCGCGUGAGUGAGGAAGUAUCUCGGUAUGUAAAGCUCUAUCAGCGGGGAAGAAGGAAGACGGUACCCGACUAAGAAGCCCCGGCUAACUACGUGCCAGCAGCCGCGGUAAUACGUAGGGGGCGAGCGUUAUCCGGAUUUACUGGGUGUAAAGGGAGCGUAGACGGCGUCGCAAGUCUGAAGUGAAAGCCCGUGGCUCAACCGCGGAACCGCUUUGGAAACUGCGAGGCUGGAGUGCUGGAGAGGUAAGCGGAAUUCCUGGUGUAGCGGUGAAAUGCGUAGAUAUCAGGAGGAACACCGGUGGCGAAGGCGGCUUACUGGACAGUGACUGACGUUGAGGCUCGAAAGCGUGGGGAGCGAACAGGAUUAGAUACCCUGGUAGUCCACGCGGUAAACGAUGAGUGCUAGGUGUCGGGGGGCAAAGCCCCUCGGUG